This is a small RNA of Mycobacterium avium subsp. paratuberculosis, 197 nucleotides long. It matches the Rfam family "Mycobacterium sRNA 6715". Rfam says of the family: First sRNA identified as a potential biomarker for the detection of MTB in patients. The record is from Rfam. Lineage: Bacteria; Bacillati; Actinomycetota; Actinomycetes; Mycobacteriales; Mycobacteriaceae.
CCGUGAUCGACAACGCGAUGACCAAAAAGCCGCAGGUCGUCCAGAUCGAUCCGGGCGACAAAUCGUUCAAGACGUCGGGUUGUCAGCCCUGGCAGCUGACCCCGGACGCGGUUCCGCCGCCCAGCGCCCCGCCCGCCGGGGUGCAGGGCACGCUCGGCAUUCUCAACGGCCUGCUGGGGGGAGCCGGACAGCAGGCC